RNAcentral lists this ribosomal RNA (218 nucleotides) under uncultured bacterium. Its description in RNAcentral is "partial 16S ribosomal RNA". It matches the Rfam family "Bacterial small subunit ribosomal RNA", at positions 118 to 334 of the family's 1533-position model. The record is from RNAcentral.
UGGGCAACCUGCCCUGUACUGGGGAAUAAUCAUUGGAAACGAUGACUAAUACCGCAUGUGGUCCUCGGAAGGCAUCUUCUGAGGAAGAAAGGAUUUAUUCGGUACAGGAUGGGCCCGCAUCUGAUUAGCUAGCUGGUGAGAUAACAGCCCACCAAGGCGACGAUCAGUAGCCGACCUGAGAGGGUGAUCGGCCACAUUGGGACUGAGACACGGCCCAA